Eptesicus fuscus (big brown bat) is the source of this 212-nucleotide long non-coding RNA. RefSeq lists it as uncharacterized. The record is from RefSeq and is a predicted model, not a curated record. NCBI's taxonomy places the organism in Eukaryota, Metazoa, Chordata, Mammalia, Chiroptera, Vespertilionidae. The transcript has 3 exons.
AUUUAAUCUCUUUGGAAUUCCAUAUAUUGGAGCUGAUAUAUGUGGGUUUAAUGAAGAGACAACUUAUGAACUUUGCCUUCGUUGGAUGCAACUUGGGGCAUUUUAUCCCUUUUCCAGAAACCAUAAUGCAAUUGGAAAUAAGGAGCAAGACCCUGGGGUAUUUGGAGAAGAGUUUGCUGCUAUUUCCCGUUCUGCAUUAAGGAUUAGAUACU